Non-coding RNA from Neolamprologus brichardi, 854 nucleotides. NCBI's taxonomy places the organism in Eukaryota, Metazoa, Chordata, Actinopteri, Cichliformes, Cichlidae. The record is from RefSeq and is a predicted model, not a curated record.
GUUGUUGGCGAACUAACGGAGGCUCGGGUUGUGCAUUUAUUUAGUCCAACUUGACACUUUACUGUCUGGGGGUAUGAUUUGCAUAGCAACAAAUCGGAUGUUGUCCGACACUAAUACAAAUUCACCAGUUUUAAUUCAGUUCCUCCUGAAGGGUUAAUAGCAACACUUAACACUGGACUGUUAUCAGGAAUACUGGGUCUGCUUCCAGUCAUAAAGCAUUACGCAGCAUUUUGGCUUACACACGCAGCUCCUCAAAUACCAGAGUGCUAGUCAUUCACGAUCAAGAGAAGGAGCUAGAUGGCGUGAGAAAGGAGAAGUGAGCAGGAGAGAGAAAAUAUCAGGCAGUGUACAGUUAGCUCUUUCAGUUUCUCUGGUUUUUGCUGGAUUUUAAAGGCUCUUGGGCUUUUCACAUUCUCUGGAUGUAAUUUAAAGACGCAGGAAGACCUGGCACUAGCCAUGGGUUCAAGUUCAACACUGGCAAGCCUUGUGUUUUUCCUUGGUUUGUGUGGGAUCUGUAGCGGAUUUGAACAGGAGAACUGUACUGACUACAAACUCCAGUUUGAGAGGGUUUUGUCUGUUCCUGGAGAUGUGGCUAUGCUGAGAAGCACACUGGUCUCCUCAGACGUCUUUGAUUUCAAAACUGUCCCGUACAACAUCACGUGGUACAACUCGGUGUCAGGCCAAGAAAUCAGCAGUCAGACUGGUCACAUCCUGGUGCACGAGGAGACUCUGUGGAUUCUCAAAGUAACCAUGAAUGACAGUGGGGAUUAUGUGACCAUACUGAGGUACGAAGCACAAGUAGAAAUAUUAGAAAUGAAUAGAACACAGUAUUAAUUUACACCUUACACAACUCA